GUCCUCACUUCCCCAAGGAAUUAUUAGGGUGAAUUUUCCAAGACCAAGGCCAAGUCUCUGCACAAAAUCAUCAGACUGGAACAAAAUUCGAACUUAAUUUGUAACUUGUCAUGAUUAAACUUUAUACCAAUUGUUAGAUCAAUAUGUUCAAGCUUCACGAAAAAAAAGUGAGAAAAACUGAUUAUUUGAGUGGGCCAUAACUCGGCAAAAAAAUCAUAAGACCAGACCAAAAUUCGAACUUGAUUUAUAACUAAGUAUGGUGCUGAACAAUAACAGGAAGAAAAUUCAGUCUGCUACACAAAGAUGAAGACAGUCAAUCAAAUAUCUGUUCAACAACCCUCCGCAUUAAGACAGUUACAACCAGCUGUCAAGAUCUGAACAAACUACCAUCUUCAGAUUUAGGUCAGGACACAACAGACUCAAUCAACAUCUUUAAAAAGUCCUGAAAGUUGUUCCAUCUCCAAUGUGUCCUUAUUGAAGAACAGAGCAGGAUACUGUACAUCUCUUACAGUCAUGAAAUCUAAUUAAAAUAUUGAUC
Molecule: long non-coding RNA, 538 nt
Filed under: Mytilus galloprovincialis (Mediterranean mussel)
Lineage: Eukaryota; Metazoa; Mollusca; Bivalvia; Mytilida; Mytilidae
Source: RNAcentral